AUGAGCCUGAUUGUUGAGACAAUCAAGAGGACUGCUGCUGAUCAGAAGAGGAGUUGUGGGUAUGCUCCACACAUUCAGGAGCUCAUUAACUCAAAGAUGGGCACAGGCACAUAUCUUCUGGACAAGGAACACCUGCCCAUCUAUCCUGAAUUUGAAGACAUCACCGUGGUGAUGGAUGAAAAUGAACCAUCUUCAGCUCAAGAACAUGAGAAGAGAGAGAAGGCAAAGGCAGAGAAAGCUGCAAAGAUGCCAACUAUUGAAGAGGCAUCUCAAGUGUUCUUGAAAUCCAAACAAGAUCAACUUGGAUAUCUGAUCCAAUCCACCUUGAGGAUUGAGGAGGGCUUGGCCACCCUGACAAAGAACCAGGAGAUUUUGGAGAGGAUCAUUGAGCAGAAGUUCUAUGAUCUGGAUGUCAAUGUAACUAAGAUUCAAACUGCAGUUGAGCAGCUACAGGAGGAAGCAGAGGAGUGGAAGGGCAAGUCUUCUACUGAUGCUUUCAAGCGAGUGCCAUGA
This 513-nucleotide ribosomal RNA is filed under the name Triticum aestivum (bread wheat). RNAcentral's name for it is "partial small subunit ribosomal RNA". Lineage: Eukaryota; Viridiplantae; Streptophyta; Magnoliopsida; Poales; Poaceae. The record is from RNAcentral.